This 505-nucleotide ribosomal RNA is filed under the name uncultured bacterium. RNAcentral's name for it is "partial 16S ribosomal RNA". It matches the Rfam family "Bacterial small subunit ribosomal RNA", at positions 28 to 507 of the family's 1533-position model. The record is from RNAcentral.
GACGAACGCUGGCGGCGUGCCUAAUACAUGCAAGUCGAACGCACAGUUUAUACUGUAGCUUGCUGCACCAUAAACGGAGAGUUGCGAACGGCUGAGUUACGCGUAGGUAACCUGCCUGGUAGCGGGGGAUAACUAUUGGAAAUGAUAGCUAGUACCGCAUACUAUUUGUUAUUGGUUGAUAAUUGAUUGAAGGAGGCAAUUGAAUCACUACCAGUUGGACCUGCGUUGGAUUAGUGAGUAAGUGAGGUAACGGCGCAUCUAGGCGACGAGACAUAGACGACCUGAGAUGAUGGUCAGCCACACUGGGACGGUGACACGGCACAGAGGCAUACGGAAGGCAGCAGUAGGGCAUCUGCGGGAAGGGACGGGAGUCUGAGCGAGCAACGCCGCGUGCGUGAAGAACGUCGUCGGAUCGUAGAGGUCGGUUUUAAGGGAAGAACGGGUGUGAGAGUGGAAAGUUCACACUGUGACGGUAACUUAUCAGAAAGCGACGGCUAACUACGUG